Molecule: ribosomal RNA, 468 nt
Filed under: uncultured bacterium
Lineage: Bacteria
Description: partial 16S ribosomal RNA
Rfam family: Bacterial small subunit ribosomal RNA
Source: RNAcentral
GACGAACGCUGGCGGCGUGCUUAACACAUGCAAGUCGAACGGAAAGGCCCUGCUUUUGUGGGGUGCUCGAGUGGCGAACGGGUGAGUAACACGUGAGUAACCUGCCCUUGACUUUGGGAUAACUUCAGGAAACUGGGGUUAAUACCGGAUAGGAGCUCCUGCUGCAUGGUGGGGGUUGGAAAGUUUCGGCGGUUGGGGAUGGACUCGCGGCUUAUCAGCUUGUUGGGGGGGUAGUGGCUUACCAAGGCUUUGACGGGUAGCCGGCCUGAGAGGGUGACCGGCCACAUUGGGACUGAGAUACGGCCCAGACUCCUACGGGCGGCAGCAGUGGGGAGUAUUGCACAAUGAGCGGAAGCCUGAUGCAGCAACGCCGCGUGCGGGAUGACGGCCUUCGGGUUGUAAACCGCUUUCGCCUGUGACGAAGCGUGAGUGACGGUAAUGGGUAAAGAAGCACCGGCUAACUACGUG